This 488-nucleotide ribosomal RNA is filed under the name Streptococcus anginosus. Its description in RNAcentral is "bacterial SSU rRNA". It matches the Rfam family "Bacterial small subunit ribosomal RNA", at positions 28 to 490 of the family's 1533-position model. The record is from RNAcentral. Lineage: Bacteria; Bacillati; Bacillota; Bacilli; Lactobacillales; Streptococcaceae.
GACGAACGCUGGCGGCGUGCCUAAUACAUGCAAGUAGGACGCACAGUUUAUACCGUAGCUUGCUACACCAUAGACUGUGAGUUGCGAACGGGUGAGUAACGCGUAGGUAACCUGCCUAUUAGAGGGGGAUAACUAUUGGAAACGAUAGCUAAUACCGCAUAACAGUAUGUAACACAUGUUAGAUGCUUGAAAGAUGCAAUUGCAUCGCUAGUAGAUGGACCUGCGUUGUAUUAGCUAGUAGGUAGGGUAAUGGCCUACCUAGGCGACGAUACAUAGCCGACCUGAGAGGGUGAUCGGCCACACUGGGACUGAGACACGGCCCAGACUCCUACGGGAGGCAGCAGUAGGGAAUCUUCGGCAAUGGGGGGAACCCUGACCGAGCAACGCCGCGUGAGUGAAGAAGGUUUUCGGAUCGUAAAGCUCUGUUGUUAAGGAAGAACGAGUGUGAGAAUGGAAAAGUUCAUACUGGGACGGACUAACCAAAAAAG